Molecule: unclassified non-coding RNA, 381 nt
Filed under: soil metagenome
Description: partial contains 5.8S ribosomal RNA, internal transcribed spacer 2, and large subunit ribosomal RNA
Rfam family: 5.8S ribosomal RNA (bases 1-120)
Source: RNAcentral
GAUGAAGAACGCAGCGAAAUGCGAUAAGUAAUGUGAAUUGCAGAAUUCAGUGAAUCAUCGAAUCUUUGAACGCACCUUGCGCUCCUUGGUAUUCCGAGGAGCAUGCCUGUUUGAGUGUCAUUAAUAUAUCAACCUCUUCAGCUUAUGCUUGUUGAGUGUUGGAUGGUGGGGGUUUGCUGGUGUCUUAUGAAGUCAGAUCCUCUGAAAUGCAUUAGCGGAACAAUUUGUUGACCGUUCAUUGGUGUGAUAAAAAUAUCUACGCUAUUGACGUCAGUCAGUUCAGCUUCUAACAGUCCAUUGACUUGGACAAAUUUUUCAUUAAUGUGACCUCAAAUCAGGUAGGACUACCCGCUGAACUUAAGCAUAUCAAUAAGCGGAGGA